AACAUCAAUUAAUCAUAAUAUUAAUUAAUCAAUCAUUCAAUAACCACAAUUUACACCAGCAACCUAGCAUGCCUCUAAACCAGGUUCCAACAACAAUUAACAUAUUCAUAAACAUAACAACCGAGACCAUAGAUCAUCCUCCUCUCCUAGCCAUGAUUCCAUGGAUCACAAUUUACCUGCACCACAAACACAAUGAGAUGCGUGAGUAUUAUCACAAAUACUCAGUGAGAGCGAUCCUCCCAUCUACGAGCUAUACACACAAGCUAUGAGAUAACACCCACAUAUAUAACAUAAACAAACCAUUCAACAAGAUAAACAUCCAAUAACACUUCCAAUUCACCUACAAAUCAUCACAAACAAGUCACUCAAUCUCAAUCGCUUAGAUAAGCUCAUGGUCACGCACUCACCUUAACAAGGUGAUUUGAAUAACAAAAACAACCAGGAAAGACUCUCCUAGCGAUUGCAACAGCCAAACAACGCCCUACAACAAACCACACAAACAAAAUCUCUAUGCACCAAAAUAGACAGAAAUAUCAGAAAACUACAACCACAGAAACGAAGCCCUAAAACAUAAACCAACCGUUAACUUCUUAAUCCCUUCGGUGAAACGCAAGAUUUAGACGUCACGACGAUCCCCACAAAAUUUGGUGCCGAUCAGAGAAACGAUGAAAUCACGAUCGCACUUACAAACUCCGAUGAUCCCAGUUCGCAACAGAGAAAACGCGUCUCACCAAACUGCAUAUAACUCACUGAAUAUUAAUCCGAAUUCACUUCUGUAAAAAGGAGAAUCAACUUACACGCCUUAAGAACAAACCUACCAAAAUUCAUUACCUUUCGAUAAGAAUUGAUACAUCGUAAGUCUAUUCUACCAGGACGUGACGAAUCUGCUUCUCUUGCCUUAAACACCAAAGCAAAGCUAACACUCUC
RNAcentral lists this long non-coding RNA (927 nucleotides) under Capsella rubella. RNAcentral's name for it is "long non-coding RNA (CRUB_LNC004235)". Lineage: Eukaryota; Viridiplantae; Streptophyta; Magnoliopsida; Brassicales; Brassicaceae. The record is from RNAcentral.